GGGUGAACGCUGGCGAUGUGCCUAAGACAUGCAAGUCGAGCGGGAUUUGUGUGUAGCACGAAGAAAUUAAACGAAUUUUUAAUUCAAAAUUUUGAAUUUUAAAUUAUGAAUUGAUUUUUUUGCGCUACGCGCGAGUUUAGCGGCGAACGGGUGAGUAAUAAACACGAACGUACCUUCAAGUGGGACAUAGCUCCGCGAAAGCGGAGAUAAUUUCCCAUAUUCCCUCCGGGGGAAAGACGCAAGUCGCUUGAAAAACGGCGUGUUCGCUACCAGCUAGUUGGUGAGGUAAUGGCUCACCAAGGCUUUGACGGCUACCGGCUCUUAGCGGAGAGACCGGCACAAUGGGACUGAGACACGGCCCAUACACCUACGGGUGGCAGCAGUUAGGAAUUUUGCGCAAUGGACGAAAGUCUGACGCAGCGACAUCGCGUGAGGGAUGAAGGUCUUCGGAUCGUAAACCUCUUUUUGGCGGCCAUGAAGGUCGCCAGAAUAAGGAACUACUAACUACGUGCCAGCAGUCGCGGUAAUACGUAGGUUCCAAGCGUUACCCGGUUUUAUUGGGCGUAAAGGGUCUGCAGGUGGUUUUCCAAGUCUUGUUUUAAAGCCCUCGGCUCAACCGAGGAUCAGGGCAAGAUACUGGGAGACUUGAAUUAUAUCGGGGUUACUGGAAUUUGUCGUGUAGGGGUAAAAUCCGUGGAUACGACAAAGAACACCAAGAGCGAAGGCGGGUAACCAGGUAUUAAUUGACACUCAUAGACGAAAGCUAGGGGAGCAAAUCAGAUUAGAGACCUGAGUAGUCCUAGCUGUAAACAUUGCCUGUUAGUUCUGUGGCAUCUGCUGCGGAAUGUAAGCUAACGCGUUAAACAGGCCGCCUGGGGAGUAUAGCCGUAAGGCCGAAACUCAAACGAAUUGGCGGGGAGGCGCACAACCAGUGGAGCAUGUGGUUUAAUUCGAUACAAAGCGAUGAACCUUACCUGGGUUUGAAAUGUACCUGCACGCCGUAGAGAUACGGAAGCCUUCGAGGGUGGUACACAGCUGUUGCAUGGCUGUCGUCAGCUCGUGACGUGAGUUGUUCUCUUAAGUGAGGUAACGAGCGCAACCCCCAUCCUGUGUUAUCGUGUCACAGGAAACUGCCUAGCAUUAUUUUGUUAGGAGGAAGGAGGGGACGACGUCAAGUCAUCAUGAUGCUUAUGUCCAGGGCUACACACAUCCUACAAUGGGCUGUAACAGAGGGUCGCAAUACCGCAAGGUGGAGCCAAUCCUUAAACCAGCCCCCAGUUGGGAUUGCAGGCUGAAACCUGCCCGCAUGAACUCGGAAUUGGUAGUAAUCGCGGAUCAGCAGACCGCGGUGAAUACGUUCUCGCCUCUUGCACACACUGCCCGUCAAAUCAGCAAAGUUGGGGGCACCUGAAGCUUCAGAUUUAUCUGGAACCAAGGUGAAUCCAGCGAUGAGGGU
This 1456-nucleotide ribosomal RNA is filed under the name uncultured bacterium. RNAcentral's name for it is "bacterial SSU rRNA". It matches the Rfam family "Bacterial small subunit ribosomal RNA". The record is from RNAcentral.